AUCUGCAGCUCAGGGUCAGGAGAGACGUCUUCUAAACAGUGCAUAGAAAGUCACUGGAGCCAUUUGGAACCUUCAAGUGGUGGGCGUUGUGGAAAUGAGAGCCCUUGAGGGAAAACUUAGCCAAGAACAAAUCAUUCCAUCCAGGAAACAGAAUCAAUGAAGCCACAGGCUUUGCUCAAGUGACCUCUUUCUCUACCCAAACUGAUUGACGGAUGCCACUUAGGACCACGGAGCCAGCUAACCAGGCAUUUUCCAAGGCUGCCAGAGCAGGGUCCCUCGUUCAUCUUUAAGCAAGUCUUUGCUCUUCCCAGAGACGACUGGUGCUUGUUUUCUGAGUGUUAAACCUUGAAUACCGACUCCCUUCAGCCUCUUGUUAGAGCAACUGUCAGGGAUGCUGGGGCUACUGAUUCUUGGCAUGGGCUUCAGCCAGAUCAUAAUGGCAGCUCAGGGGCUAUAGCCUGAGACUUUACAUAAAAGUACUGUGUAGGGGGGAUAUCUAGGGCUGGUGGCUUCUGGUGGGUGGUGCGGCAUGUGCAUGUUUAGAGCUGACAGCAUGGCAGCUCCCUGGCAGGCUACUGAAGUCUGUCACUUCUCUGUCGGGUGCACAGAGAGCACGCGAGACACCGUCGUCAGAGCCCCACAUGAGUUCAUUGUUCACGGCCUUCUAGUGCACUAUGGUGGUCUUAGCAUAUAAGGUUGACCACUGUAGUGGGUAGCCAUUCCAGCUUUGACCUGGAAGUUCCAACCCGCAUUGAGGCUUCGGUAACUGUCACGCCUACAAGGCAGAGCCAAGAGAGGACCCUAAAGACUCAAGAUCUGGAUGCGCCAGCUCUCUUGGUUCCUGGACCCUGGACGCUGGAGGUAGACCGAGCAGAGUUCUCCAGAGAACACCGCUGGACUGCGCUACACCUUUCCCAGACUCUAUAAACUAUCCCUUCACUUGUAAGUUAACCCACAAAAUAGACCUCCCUUUUAACUACGUGGAGUGGCCAUAAUAAUUUUACCAAUAGACCACGUGUAUUGCAUAUAUUCGUUAUUCUCCAUAUUGCUGUGACCAAACACUCGACAAGAAGCCACUGAAGGAAGGGUUGACGGUGGCUCACAGGUGGAGGAGGGUUCAGUCCACCACGGUGAUAAAGGCAUGGCCGAGUUACAGAGAGUCUGUUGCCCGGCCUGUUACCUCAUCAGCCGUUUGUGAAGCAGAGGGCUGGAACCAUGGUUAAGAUAUAACCUUCUAGCCACACCCCUGCCAUCCCAUAUUCUCCUGCCAAGCCCCACGUCCAAGAGACUCCACAACCUCCCAGAUGGUGCCCCAAAGUAGUAAUCAAGUAUUCAAGCUUAAGUCUGUCAGGACGUUGUCCAUUCGAACCCAUCCCAUCAUGUAUGAUACACCCGGGGUCUGAAGGCAAAGAGUACCAACACCUCCAUCCUGGAAAGAAUGGAUCUGAUCAUGUCACCGCCUUCACUGAGCAUUUCAACCACCAGCAGACAGAGGGGAAUCAUUUGGCUCAUCACAAGCGCCAGUUCUCCCUGGUCCGAUGCGCGGUCCCCGUGAGCCCUCAGACGUGAUGGACUGUAAGGUGAAGUGACUGACUGUGUCCUCCAGGGCACGUGAAGGAUGAUCUCUGGGAGCUCCGAGCUCCAAAUUAUACGCUGAUAAAAGCAGCUGCCCUGCCUCACCUGCUGUCAGCGGGCCUGCUCCCAGACUGUUGUGAAAAUGCAGCUUUGUGACAUGCCAGGGGCUGCUCAGCAGCUUCCCCGCUGAUUGGUUUUCUGGCAGAGCUGAGAAGGCAGAGGCUGGUCCUCAGAGGCUGAAUUCCAGGCUGGGCUGGAAAGCUGGACAUCUAUGCAGCUCAAGUCAAGAGUGUUUCCCUCCUGUUUUGCUGACCUUUAUGGAUUCAGAGGCUGUGAAGGACUGAAAAACUUUACAUAAAGUAGCAAGUUUACCAGGACAGAUAGAGGGCUAUGAUACAGCUUUAUUCACACCUUCCUGGGAGGGCUGAGGUUUUCUGUAAGUGUCUUCUUCAGGGAGAGAGAGUGAAGAAUACAGCCCGAGACAUCUUUCAAUACCAAGAUGUACUGGCAAUUUUGUGGGUUGACUUGACACAAGCUGGAGACAUCAGAGGAAGGAGCCUUCGUUGAGGAAAUGCCUCUAUGAGAUUCAGCUAUGAAGCAUUUUCUGAAUUAAUGAUCAGUGGGGGAGGGCCCAGAUCAUGGUGGGUGGUGCCAUCCCUGGGCUGGUGGUCCUGGGGGUUUAUAAGAAAGCAGGUUGAGCCGGGCGGUGGUGGCGCACGUCUUUAAUCCCAGCACUCGGGAGGCAGAGGCAGGCGGAUCUCUGUGAGUUCGAGGCCAGCCUGGUCUCCAAAGCAAGUACCAGGAAAGGCGCAAAGCUACACAGAGAAACCCUGUCUUGAAAAAAACCAAAAAAAAAAAAAAAAAGAAAGCAGGUUGAGCAAGCCAAGUGAAACAAGCCAGUAAGCAGCACCCCUCCGUGGUCUCUCCAUGUGCUCCUGUCUUCAGGAUCCUGCCCUGCUUGAGUUCCUGUCCUGACUUUCUUCAGUGAUGAACAGCAAUGCUGAAGUGUACGACAAAUAAACCCUUUCCUCCCCAACUUGCUUUUUGGUUAAGAUAUUUCAUCAUAGCACUAGAAAUCCUAACUAAGAUACCAGAUGAAAGGCCAACCUGGGCCCUAGAAACCUGGACCAUUUCUGUGUAGUCCACUCUCAAAGGGCACUGAACAGCAGUCAUCAUUGGUACCACUUAAUGUGUGCCCAUGCGAUGGACUCAGUUCAGCCGCAUGGAACCUGCCAGCACUGACUAAAAGCCAAAUAAAAGUUCCCUCCUAGGUGUCUCGUGCACCAUUCAGCUGCCUGGCAUUGGCUUUCCUCAUUACAACCCUGAGCACUCGGGACCAAUACUCUGCACGUGAUUAUGAGUCUAUCUGGCUAAAGGCAUUAAAAGCCUUAUGGUAUAAAUGACCAGAAAAACUGCUAUAGGAGAAUAAGCAUAAUAUCAGCUAAUUCUUACAAAGCAGCCACUGUGUAGGAGGCACGAUCCUUGAGGAUUGUCCUGCAGGCUCUUGACCAGUGACACCAUGGAUGGACCAGAGUCCAGUUAAAAGGUGGGUCUGGUAGACUGAUUUCCAAAAGCAUAUUUCAACUACAUGUCAUCUACAAGGUGGUGUACUUUUGAUGCAAAGACACAAAAAGAUUGACUCUUAAAAAAAAAAAAGACCUGAAACUCAAAUAGCAAGUCCAUGAAAACUGGAGGAGAGAGAGACACCAAGGCCAGACCACAGGGACUGUAAAACAAAGAUUCAACAACUGUAAAUCUAUGCACACCAGAUAACAGAUACAAAAAUAUGCCAAGAAAGGCAAAGACAACAAGGAAAUCUAACAAAGCAAGUUUGAGAUUUCAAGGACCCACUUUGAAUAAUUGGUAAAAUUAGGCAGGAAAAAAAAACCACAAGAAACUAAAUUAACAGACAUCCAACAGCAAAUCACACAUCCUCCUCAAGAACAAGUGUGUGCUACUCUUCAAGACCAAUGCUAUGCUAAGUCCAAGAAAGAAUGCCCUAGUAAAUUUAAUGGUAUUUAAAUAAUGAGAAAGUGUGUUCUCUCACCAUAGAGAAAUGAAACAUGAAGGCUGAGUCAUGGAAAAUUUUGGGAAUAUCCCAAGUAUAUGAAAAUUAAAACAUACUUAAAUAAAGGAUGACUUAAAUAAAUUGAAAGAGAAAGAAGGCAACAUUUUAAGGUGAUGGAAAUGAAGAUCUGUCAGAGUUUAAAGAAUGCAGCUGAAAGUUAAGGGGAAACAUAACAUAAAUGACUAUAUUAAGGAGGAAGAAAGCUCUCAAAUCAUUAACCCAAAAUCUCAUCUGGAGACACUGAAAAACUAAGACCAAACUAAACUUAGAACUGUAGAAUAUUGUUUUAAGGUGUGUUACAUUUGUUUAUGCUAUGGAACAUUUGCUUAAUGAUGCAAAGAUGUGUUGCAUUCUUUUAUGUUGCAUUUAUUUAACUCUGUGAAGCUGUGUUACAGUGCCUGUCUAAAACACCUGAUUGGUCUAAUAAAGAGCUGAAUGGCCAAUUGCAAGGCAGGAGAAAGGAUAGGCAGGGCUGGCAGGCAGAGAGAAUAAACAGGAGGAGAAAUAUGGGAGCAGAAGAAGGAGCAAGAGAACAAGGAGAGGAAGAGGCUAGGGGCCAGCUACCUAGCUACCCAGCCACCCAGCCAGCCACAGAGUAAGAGUGAAAGUAAGAUAUACAGAAGAAAAGGAAAAAGCCCAGAGACAAAAAUGUAGAUGGGCUAAUUUGAGUUAAGAAAAGCUGGCAAGAAACAAGCCAAGCUAAGGCUGGGCAUUUAUAAUUAAGAAUAAGUCUCUGUGUGUGAUUUAUUUUGGAGCUGGGUGUUGGGCCCCCCAAAAGAGCAAAGAAACCAACAGCAGACACUGAAAAAUUAAGACCAAAUUAAACUUAGAACAAACAGAAAGAAGGAUUAGAGCAGAAAUCAAUGACAUAUCUCAUUAAUAUGACAUAUCAAUAUGCAAAUCAAAGCCAUAACGAGAUGACACGUAACAUUCUACUAUGGUUAGAAUAAAAAAAAUCAAGCUGUUGCAGGAUAUUUGAUCACACUGUAUGGAAAGAUGCUCUCUGAUUAGUUUAAUAAAUAGCUAGGCAGGAGAGGUUAGGCAAGACUUCCAGGCAGAGAGAGGAACUUGGGAUGAAUCUGGCAAGGCAGAAAGUGCCAGCAAGAUGGGUAGAACAAGUCCGGUGUAUAGAAUGAGAGAGAGGUAAAAGUCAUGUGGCAAACUGUAGAUUAACAGAAACAGGUUAAUUUGAGUUAUAAGAGCUAGUUGGGAACAAGCCUAAACUAAAGGCCAAGCUUUCAUAAUUAAUAAUAAGUUUCCAUGUCAUUAUUUGUGGGCAGGCAGUCUAAAGAAAAAGUGUACUACCAAUCAAGUUUGGCCAAGUGUGCAGAGAAUCCAGAACACAGGCAUCCUGCUUAUAAGAAAGUAAAUGGUACUUCCACUUUGGAGAACAAUUGGACAGAUCUUCACAUGAUGAAACCUGGAGUUUCCACAUAGCCCAGCAAUUCUAUUCAUAGGUAUAUUCUCAAGAAAAACAAAACCAUACAGCCAUACAAAAAUGUGUAUGUCAAUGUUCAGGAUAGUAACAUUCACAUACAUUAUUCAUCAGAGCCCAAAGGUGGAACUACCCAAAUGUUCAUCAGUCAAGAAACUAAACAAGAAUGUUAUAUCUGUAGAAGGGGAUAUGAUUCAUCCCCAAAACAGGAAUUGAGUGCGUAAAACAGCGCUAUGGAGAUGCUAUGCAUACGGAAAGAAGCUGGUUACAGAAUACCACAGAUUAUAAAAUUCUGUUCAUAUGAAAGCUUAGAAUAAACAUAUUGUAGGCAGAAAGUAGAUUGAUUAUUGCAUCUGGCCAGGGAGAUGGGGGAUUUGGGAGUGAUGGAUAAAGACUAUAGAGUUUCUGAGGAGUUGCAUGUUUUAAUUGUGCUAUGAUGACAUACAGGUAACAAAUCACAGAGUUGUAUGUUUUAAAUGAGGCCUUGUAUACUCAAAAUUACAUUUUAAUAAGGCUUUUUAAACGUUAUUUGCAUUAAGAGGAAGGGGACCAGCAGGUGGGGUGGGGAGAAGAGGAGAUAAUGGAGGUGUGAGCAUGAUAAAAGUACAUUAUAGAUGUGUGUGAAGUAUCAUAAGGAAGUCUAUUACUUUGCACAAUUAAUAUAUACUAUAAAAGAAUUUCAGUUUGAAUUAAUUCUCUUAUUUUCUGGUUUCGUUCAGGAUAGAAACAUAAAUAAAUAACAGUGCCUUGGUUUGCUUUCUGUUGCUGAGAUACACACUAUGACCAAUGAGCAUCUUGGGGAGACAAGUGUUUAUUUCAUCUUACAGGUUAUAGUCCAUAAUCAGCUAAAGCUAAGACAGGAACAGGAGGCAGGAACUGAAGCAGAACCACAGAGGAAUGCUGAUUGUUUACUUGUUUGAUUGUGCCUACUUCUGCUCAGCUUGCUCUUUACUCAACACAUGACCACCUACCCAGGGGUGGUACUGCCUACAGUGGGUUGGGCAUUCCUACACCAAUCGCUAAUCAAGAAAAUGUUCCACAGACUUGCCCACAGCCAAUGGGAUGGAAGCAAAUCCUCAAUUAAGGUUCCCUUUUUUCAAGUGACUCUAGAUUAUGUCAAGUUAACAAAAAUUAGCCAACACAGAUUAGACAGACAGACAGACAGAUAGAUGAUAGAUAGAUGGUAGAUAAUAUAGCUAUCACUUACCUAGGUGUAACAUGUGUAACUAUCAUGAAGAAAUAGUUACUUGAAACAAAUAGCACCUGCCACAGACAGAUACCAAUUAAACCCUAAAUUAUAUACAGCUUUCCACCACUAUAUUUCUUCCCUUUAACUCAAAUGCAAGACUCUUAGAGCAAAAUGAAUGUGAUAGUCAAAUGCAAUGUGCCCCUAGCAUUGUGACUAGCCAUUUUAAAAAAAAAAAAAUAAAACUAAUAUAUAACACCCUCAUCACCAUCAAUGCUGACUUGUCACCACUUCCAACAUCACCCACGUCCUGAGCAUCUCAUCUACCUCCCGUAACUCCGUUUGCUUUCUGGUACAUUAAUACUGAUUUUAAUUGUUCCAUGGUAUGUAUCUGUAUGUGCUGCACAUUCACAUAACAUGUCUGCGUUUAUAUCUAUGCGUUUGUAUAUAGACUAGAAACUUCCCAAAGUGUUUAAGGUAGGGGUUAAAUUACAAUUAAAUAAUACAGCGUAUUGUAUAUUGACCAACAGCCUCACUAGGAAGCUCCAUUGUGUUCUCCCAGCUGUCAAGCACAGCACUGUGAAUGUCUGGCUCUUGGCUUUUAUCCCAAGAUAAUCUGUUAGGUGUCUCUGUCAGUCCUUGCAGCUGGUGGCAGCUUCCUGUCAAGCGAGAAGGCUGGGAAGAUGCAUUUCUUCCUAUGAGAGUUGUAGCUUAAAUGAACUAGGACUUUUCCUCUUGAAAUUUGGUACCAAUGAGAGAGUCGAUAUAAAUACCAAAGGACUGAAAAUCGUCCCAGUUAAGGGUGGCUAAAUCCUCUCAGGAAAAGGAUUCCUCCUCACCUGCUAAUGUGCCCACCUUCUACUCAUCCCUCUGAUUGUUCAAAACAAACAAAGCCCACGGCUUCCUUGCCAGUCCCCACCUGGUGACUUUGAUGUGGUUGACUCAUAUGUACCCGUCACACAGGCAUCUGAUCCAUCAUUUUCUAUUUUUGUAACUCAAUUAAGUUCUGGCUAAUUUCACAUCAAAUUAGUCCUUAAAGCAAACUCAUUAAAUGCCGAUAUAAAAUAUGUAGUAUUUUAUGGCUUUUGAAUAAUGGGGAAAAUUUAAAUUGUUCACCUAACUUUUCAGAAGUGAAGGUACUGUGAAAAGAUUUUGAAAGAAAGGCAA
Molecule: long non-coding RNA, 7431 nt
Organism: Peromyscus californicus insignis
Lineage: Eukaryota; Metazoa; Chordata; Mammalia; Rodentia; Cricetidae
Exons: 3
Source: RefSeq, a predicted model, not a curated record